UUGGUGGCGACCGGCGCACGGGUGCGUAACGCGUAUGUAACCUACCUAUAACAGGGGCAUAACACUGAGAAAUUGGUACUAAUUCCCCAUAAUAUUCGGAGAGGCAUCUCUCCGGGUUGAAAACUCCGGUGGUUAUAGAUGGACAUGCGUUGUAUUAGCUAGUUGGUGAGGUAACGGCUCACCAAGGCAACGAUACAUAGGGGGACUGAGAGGUUAACCCCCCACACUGGUACUGAGACACGGACCAGACUCCUACGGGAGGCAGCAUG
RNAcentral lists this ribosomal RNA (269 nucleotides) under uncultured bacterium. RNAcentral's name for it is "partial 16S ribosomal RNA". It matches the Rfam family "Bacterial small subunit ribosomal RNA", at positions 85 to 353 of the family's 1533-position model. The record is from RNAcentral.